This 45-nucleotide non-coding RNA is filed under the name Schistosoma mansoni. Lineage: Eukaryota; Metazoa; Platyhelminthes; Trematoda; Strigeidida; Schistosomatidae. The record is from RNAcentral.
GUCCAGCUAAUGAGUCACAAAUAGGACGAAACACGCGUCCUGGAU